This 2519-nucleotide long non-coding RNA is filed under the name Cyanistes caeruleus (blue tit). RNAcentral describes it as "lncRNA (ENSCCEG00000000850.1)". Lineage: Eukaryota; Metazoa; Chordata; Aves; Passeriformes; Paridae. The record is from RNAcentral.
ACCACUGCACUUACCACUCAGAGGUCUGAUAGCCUCCUUUUCCCCCCAGCAAGGCUGUGACGAGCAGCAGUAAGAGCACACCACCCUUGCAUGAUGAGGUUACUCCCUAAAGUUUAAGCCAACAAUAAAUAAACAAUUAAGAUUGCUAUAAAAACUCUGUGAAGUUUAUAGACGUCUCAGCAAGUUUGAGGAUCUGUAAUCCUCAAGCUGUUUUAAGCUUGUAACAUUUUCCUGAACUCAAAGAUUAAUAUCUGUUCCAAUUUCUUCAAUUCCAGUUUUUGAGUUAUCAAAGUUCAUAGGAUUGCCUAUUGGUAAAAGCUACUGAAACUUUCCUCUGACCUCAAAUGACAGGCAGCCUGUGGUAUAUUUUACCAGAACUCAAGUUAAUUUUUGACCUUUCCUUUAUUCCUUCACUUUUCCCUACUCCCUGGUUACUUUAUACUUUGUCUUCAGUUUCUACUCUUUCUGGUUUUUCUCACGUGGUAUUUUUGUUCUUCUUUUUCAGAAACUUGUGCUCUGUUCCCAUGCUCCAUGUCUAUAUUAAUGUCUCUCUUACUGAGCAUUGCUGAGCAGUCAAGAUGAAGCUAGGAUCUAGAGCUAACAUUGUCCAAAUGGAUAUCAGAUGCCAACUGUACUUCUUUGAGUCACAGAGAACCAUCUGGUUAUCUGAGUUUGAUGUCAUGAUGUGCUGUGAUAUUAUUAGACUGCUUAGCUUGAUGCAUGAGAAGGAUACAGAUUUAAGAAACAGGAUCAGAGCGGCUGCCGGCAGCCAGCAGGCAACCAGAGCCAGCUCCCCCUGGAGCCGGCGCACAGGUGUGCUGCCUCCAACCAGCAGGCAAAGAUCUAUGACUUCUUUUAAUUAAGGAAUAAUCCCAUUACAUUACAAAAAGGACUUGCAGAAGGGGACAGGUUUUUCUCCAGCAUUUCUCCUCCUCGGCAAAACAUCACGGCUCUCCUUUCCCAGCACGCAGCAGCUGCUUUGCAUGACUUCUUGUCCUAUUUCUGAGCAAACCAGACCAAGGAGCACCAUCUUUGUGUGUGACUGGCAAAGAAGUUCCCUUCCCUUACAGUACAAGGAAACAAAAACUAAGAGGAAAGGAAGGAUGUUUUCUGGUAAGUGUGCAUUCAGUUGUGCUCUGCACCUCAGUCUAGCAGAGGAAGUGAUCGUUCUGGGGACAGCAGCAACUCAGCAUCUGUGAGGACAUGAGAGAUGGGCUGCACACAAGGGUGCUGAGAGAAGAGGUUACUGUUGUAGUGUCUGCUCUCUCUUGACUUUGAAAAAUCAUAGAGACCAGCAGAGAUGUCCCACACUCAGAGCAAGGCCAGUGUUGCGCCCACCUCCAGAAAUAGCUUAAGGACAAUAUAAUGAGUUGCCAAAGAAUGGGUAAAAAGGAUGUCUGGCCUGCCUUGACCAAAGGAGUACAGCUUUUAAUCAUACAAACUGCCCCAGCACUCCCCCAUUGUAUUCUUGCAUAAGGGGAAGUUAUGGAUACUAUUACAUUACCAAAAAGAAAAUAAUGUAGAAACAUGCAAUUCCGCUCUACAUUCCCAAAGAUGUAUUUGUAACUUCCGUACAAAAUACAAAAUCUUCAUGUGCUUAAAAUCUGCACAAGAUAAAACAGUCACCCCAAGUAAUCCACCUGCAACCCAGCCCAUUAGAAAAGCUCAUGUCAGGAUUAACAGACUAGAUCUGACAGAAAAAUCUUCUAGAAAAUAUAUACAUGGAUGCCCAACUUCUAAAAGCUUUUCUCAGCCCUACAGACAAUUCCUCUGAUAGGCCCAACACACCAGCCUUCUUUCCUUUCCUUAUCUCAACCAGCAAAUGAAUGUUAUUAAAUACACAAUCUUUCUUCAGUGGGCUACACAAACAAAAUAUGCACAAUUAAUUAAUGCUGCAGUCAUUUCUUUGAUCUUCCAAUGAAAACAAAAUUUAAAAGUCAUACUAUUUCAGCCUAGAAGCUUAGAGUUAAAAAGCUUAGGAACUCAUCCGGGACUUUGAAUCCAAGAAUCACUGGACUGAUGUCAUUAAAAGAGCUGAAUUAGACUUGUAAUUAUUCCCUUAUGAAUUCUGCCGUCUAUGUGAGAAAUAAGGGUAUUCAUUUCUGUCCUCAAAAUUGAUUUACUUUAGGGAAAAAAACAGAAGGGUUGGGGAGAGCAAGAGCUUGGCUUUACUGUGCAUCUGAUAGAAUACAAGGAAAUAAGUGUCAAUAGCAAACAAGAUCUCUGCCAGUCAAUAGGAGCUAUACCUUCUGUUUACACGGCAUGGCAGUUUCCCUGAGACCCUCAGCAUAAAUCCUAUCUCCACAGUUCCAGCUGGCUGUCCACUGCUUAGUGCACCAGCACUUCAUUAACAUGCAAAUGCUUGACAGUUAUUGGGCUUAAGUACAUCUGCAUAUUUAUAAACAGCCAUUCCAAACCACAUCCCCAUUUAAGGAAACUGCUUAAUGGCACUGAACCUAAAGUCUCUCUCAUACCCAUUAAACAAUAAACUGCAGCCAGAUUCACUUAUUUUGUAUUUU